Molecule: ribosomal RNA, 438 nt
Filed under: uncultured bacterium
Lineage: Bacteria
Description: bacterial SSU rRNA
Rfam family: Bacterial small subunit ribosomal RNA
Source: RNAcentral
GCACAACGCGAAGAACCUUACCUACUCUUGACAUCUACAGAAGACUGCAGAGAUGCGGUUGUGCCUUCGGGAACUGUAAGACAGGUGCUGCAUGGCUGUCGUCAGCUCGUGUUGUGAAAUGUUGGGUUAAGUCCCGCAACGAGCGCAACCCUUAUCCUUAGUUGCCAGCGAUUCGGUCGGGAACUCUAGGGAGACUGCCGGUGAUAAACCGGAGGAAGGUGGGGACGACGUCAAGUCAUCAUGGCCCUUACGAGUAGGGCUACACACGUGCUACAAUGGUAUGUACAGAGGGAGGCGAAGCCGCGAGGCGGAGCGGAUCUCUUAAAGCAUAUCGUAGUCCGGAUCGCAGUCUGCAACUCGACUGCGUGAAGUCGGAAUCGCUAGUAAUCGCAAAUCAGAAUGUUGCGGUGAAUACGUUCCCGGGUCUUGUACACACCG